AAUAGACCGCCUACAAACACUAUGGAGCUUGUGUCCUGAUAGCGAACUAGCUUAAGGGAGAUAAAAGUUGGUAAUCAAUUCUUCCUUCAUCUCUUUGGUUCAUCACUCUGAAAGACUACUGAAAAGGUUUUGUGACCCUGUCCAACGUCAUACAAGAAUUGCCGGAGAAUAUAUGCUAGCAUGAGUGGAAACAGCGGAAACACU
This 204-nucleotide long non-coding RNA is filed under the name Spirodela polyrhiza (greater duckweed). Its description in RNAcentral is "long non-coding RNA (SPOL_LNC001647)". Lineage: Eukaryota; Viridiplantae; Streptophyta; Magnoliopsida; Alismatales; Araceae. The record is from RNAcentral.